RNAcentral lists this ribosomal RNA (182 nucleotides) under Virgibacillus salexigens. RNAcentral describes it as "partial 16S ribosomal RNA". It matches the Rfam family "Bacterial small subunit ribosomal RNA", at positions 1354 to 1533 of the family's 1533-position model. The record is from RNAcentral. RNAcentral also lists the same sequence under 1 other name. Lineage: Bacteria; Bacillati; Bacillota; Bacilli; Caryophanales; Bacillaceae.
AUGCCGCGGUGAAUACGUUCCCGGGCCUUGUACACACCGCCCGUCACACCACGAGAGUUGGUAACACCCGAAGUCGGUGAGGUAACCUUUUGGAGCCAGCCGCCGAAGGUGGGACCAAUGAUUGGGGUGAAGUCGUAACAAGGUAGCCGUAUCGGAAGGUGCGGCUGGAUCACCUCCUUUCU